GUCCGUGUGGCGUAAUGGUAGCGCGACAGCCUCCUAAGCUGUAGGUUGCAGGUUCGACUCCUGCCUCGGAUG
Molecule: transfer RNA, 72 nt
Organism: Paramecium tetraurelia
Lineage: Eukaryota; Ciliophora; Oligohymenophorea; Peniculida; Parameciidae
Rfam family: tRNA
About the family: Transfer RNA (tRNA) molecules are approximately 80 nucleotides in length.
Source: Rfam